UCUUCUUUGCUCUUCCUUCAAUGCCGU
RNAcentral lists this small RNA (27 nucleotides) under Arabidopsis thaliana (thale cress). RNAcentral's name for it is "ATSL185980". Lineage: Eukaryota; Viridiplantae; Streptophyta; Magnoliopsida; Brassicales; Brassicaceae. The record is from RNAcentral.